UACAGAGGGUGCAAGCGUUAUUCGGAAUUACUGGGCGUAAAGCGCGCGUAGGCGGAUUAUUAAGUCAGUUGUGAAAGCCCUGGGCUCAACCUAGGAAUGGCGAUUGAAACUGGUAGUCUAGAGUUUAGUAGAGGGAAGGGGAAUUUCUGGAGUAGCAGUGAAAUGCGUAGAUAUCAGAAGGAACAUCAGUGGCGAAGGCGCCUUCCUGGACUAGAACUGACGCUGAGGUGCGAAAGCGUGGGGAGCAAACGGGAUUAGAUACCCCGGUAGUCCACGCCCUAAACGAUGUCAACUAGCUGUUGGUCUUAUUAAAAAGAUUAGUAGCGCAGCUAACGCGAUAAGUUGACCGCCUGGGGAGUACGGUCGCAAGAUUAAA
RNAcentral lists this ribosomal RNA (376 nucleotides) under uncultured bacterium. Its description in RNAcentral is "bacterial SSU rRNA". It matches the Rfam family "Bacterial small subunit ribosomal RNA", at positions 524 to 898 of the family's 1533-position model. The record is from RNAcentral.